GCUUACGGCCAUACCACCUGAACACGCCCGAUCUCGUCAGAUCUCGGAAGCUAAGCAGGGUCGGGCCUGGUUAGUACUUGGAUGGGAGACCGCCUGGGAAUACCAGGUGCUGUAAGCU
Labrus bergylta (ballan wrasse) is the source of this 118-nucleotide ribosomal RNA. The record is from Ensembl. NCBI's taxonomy places the organism in Eukaryota, Metazoa, Chordata, Actinopteri, Labriformes, Labridae.